RNAcentral lists this transfer RNA (75 nucleotides) under Acidobacteriota bacterium. RNAcentral's name for it is "Acidobacteria bacterium (anaerobic digester metagenome) tRNA-Lys". It matches the Rfam family "tRNA". From Rfam's summary of the family: Transfer RNA (tRNA) molecules are approximately 80 nucleotides in length. The record is from RNAcentral. Lineage: Bacteria; Pseudomonadati; Acidobacteriota.
GGAUCUAUAGCAUAGUCAGGUUAAUGCAUCGGACUCUUAAUCCGAGUAUCAUGGGUUCGAACCCCAUUAGAUCCG